RNAcentral lists this ribosomal RNA (722 nucleotides) under Bacillus sp. J383. Its description in RNAcentral is "bacterial SSU rRNA". It matches the Rfam family "Bacterial small subunit ribosomal RNA", at positions 53 to 754 of the family's 1533-position model. Lineage: Bacteria; Bacillati; Bacillota; Bacilli; Caryophanales; Bacillaceae. The record is from RNAcentral.
ACAUGCAAGUCGAGCGAAUCUGAGGGAGCUUGCUCCCAAAGAUUAGCGGCGGACGGGUGAGUAACACGUGGGUAACCUGCCUGUAAGAUUGGUGAUAACUCCGGGAAACCGGUAGCUAAUACCGGAUAACAUUUUGAACCGCAUGGUUCAAAAUUGAAAGACGGCUUUUAGCUGUCACUUACAGAUGGACCCGCGGCGCAUUAGCUAGUUGGUGAGGUAACGGCUCACCAAGGCAACGAUGCGUAGCCGACCUGAGAGGGUGAUCGGCCACUCUGGGACUGAGACACGGCCCAGACUCCUACGGGAGGCAGCAGUAGGGAAUCUUCCGCAAUGGACGAAAGUCUGACGGAGCAACGCCGCGUGAACGAUGAAGGCCUUCGGGUCGUAAAGUUCUGUUGUUAGGGAAGAACAAGUACCAGAGUAACUGCUGGUACCUUGCCGGUACCUAACCAGAAAGCCACGGCUAACUACGUGCCAGCAUCCGCGGUAAUACGUAGGUGGCAAGCGUUGUCCGGAAUUAUUGGGCGUAAAGCGCGCGCAGGCGGUUUCUUAAGUCUGAUGUGAAAGCCCACGGCUCAACCGUGGAGGGUCAUUGGAAACUGGGGAACUUGAGUGCAGAAGAGGAGAGUGGAAUUCCACGUGUAGCGGUGAAAUGCGUAGAGAUGUGGAGGAACACCAGUGGCGAAGGCGACUCCUCUGGUCUGUAACUGACGCUGAGGCGC